RNAcentral lists this ribosomal RNA (791 nucleotides) under uncultured bacterium. RNAcentral's name for it is "bacterial SSU rRNA". It matches the Rfam family "Bacterial small subunit ribosomal RNA", at positions 8 to 796 of the family's 1533-position model. The record is from RNAcentral.
AGAGUUUGAUCAUGGCUCAGGUUGAACGCUGGCGGCAUGCUUUACACAUGCAAGUCGAACGGCAGCGCGGGGCAACCUGGCGGCGAGUGGCGAACGGGUGAGUAAUAUAUCGGAACGUACCCAAGAGUGGGGGAUAACGUAGCGAAAGUUACGCUAAUACCGCAUACGAUCUAUGGAUGAAAGCAGGGGACCGCAAGGCCUUGUGCUCCUGGAGCGGCCGAUAUCUGAUUAGCUAGUUGGUAGGGUAAAGGCCUACCAAGGCGACGAUCAGUAGCUGGUCUGAGAGGACGACCAGCCACACUGGAACUGAGACACGGUCCAGACUCCUACGGGAGGCAGCAGUGGGGAAUUUUGGACAAUGGGCGCAAGCCUGAUCCAGCAAUGCCGCGUGAGUGAAGAAGGCCUUCGGGUUGUAAAGCUCUUUUGUCAGGGAAGAAACGGCAGGCGCUAAUAUCGCCUGCUAAUGACGGUACCUGAAGAAUAAGCACCGGCUAACUACGUGCCAGCAGCCGCGGUAAUACGUAGGGUGCAAGCGUUAAUCGGAAUUACUGGGCGUAAAGCGUGCGCAGGCGGUUUUGUAAGUCUGUCGUGAAAGCCCCGGGCUCAACCUGGGAAUUGCGAUGGAGACUGCAAGGCUUGAAUCUGGCAGAGGGGGGUAGAAUUCCACGUGUAGCAGUGAAAUGCGUAGAGAUGUGGAGGAACACCGAUGGCGAAGGCAGCCCCCUGGGUCAAGAUUGACGCUCAUGCACGAAAGCGUGGGGAGCAAACAGGAUUAGAUACCCCGGUAGUCC